CUCCCCUCACCUCACCAGACCUCUCUCUCACAGAAACUAGCCGCCCCCCUCACCAGGCUCCCCUCUUCCAGCCAACAGAAAAGCUGCCGUCCCCCGGGGUCCUUGGUUGUUGUUUUCAGAACAGAGCCAAGGACCCCCCUGCCAUUUCAGCUCUUCACCGUCGCCCUCUACCCACAGCACCGAUCUUCCCCUCAGCCACAGCCUCUCCUCUCAUAGUCGAACACCAUAACAGCCGCCUCCAGCAUUUCCUUCCUUCAGCAACAGCACCAGCACCAGCACCGACACCCACUAGAUCUGCCAAGAGGAGUGAAGAUCGGACAGCCAUCCCCUCUCCAUCGCAGCUUCACCCGGCUGACCACAUAGAACCGCCACGCCCACAGCCACCGAGACACAGUCGCCUGAUCUGCCACCUGAGGAAGGGAGAAAACAGAAGUGAAGCAGAUUUGAAAAAGGAGAAGACCGAAACAGAUCCGAAAAAGAAAGAAAAAUUAAAAUCAACUGCCUGUGUUGUGUUCGGUUGCUUUGCAGGUCACCGCCGGCGUAGGGAGACUGAGAAGAAGAAGUCGAUCCAGACACCCCCUGUUGCUUGGUUUUUCUGUGGCGGCGCGUGAACCCACGCGCCGCCAGUGGCGGUGGCGCGUGGGAAGACGCGCCGCCACUGUUCUCGCGCCCAGAAAUCCUGCUGAACACUGUUCCGGCUUGCAGAAGGUGUUCCCUGUAAAUUCCAGAUUGUUUUGGGGCUGUUAUUGUAAUUUUAAUGUAAUUUUUUGUUUAUUUGUUUUGAAAUUGUAUUUUGUACCGUGGAUGUAAAAAAAGAAAAGAAAAGAAAGAAAGAUAAAACAAUGAUAGAAAAAGAGAUGUGUGUGUGUUUGUGUAUUUUUUUUUAUGUAUGUUAUUGAAUCAAAGAAAAAAAUGAAUUUAAUAUUUUAAUUUAUAUGCACAAAUAUCUAAAGGACAGAUAAAAAUCAUGUUGUAUUUCCCAUAAAAAUAUAGAAC
Molecule: long non-coding RNA, 996 nt
Filed under: Populus trichocarpa (black cottonwood)
Lineage: Eukaryota; Viridiplantae; Streptophyta; Magnoliopsida; Malpighiales; Salicaceae
Description: long non-coding RNA (PTRI_LNC000153)
Source: RNAcentral